This 76-nucleotide transfer RNA is filed under the name Moraxella bovis. RNAcentral describes it as "tRNA-Val(tac)". It matches the Rfam family "tRNA". Rfam says of the family: Transfer RNA (tRNA) molecules are approximately 80 nucleotides in length. Their secondary structure includes four short double-helical elements and three loops (D, anti-codon, and T loops). Lineage: Bacteria; Pseudomonadati; Pseudomonadota; Gammaproteobacteria; Moraxellales; Moraxellaceae. RNAcentral also lists the same sequence under 19 other names. The record is from RNAcentral.
GGGCGGUUAGCUCAGUUGGUAGAGCGUCUGCCUUACAAGCAGAGGGUCAGCGGUUCGAAUCCGUUACCGCCCACCA